Long non-coding RNA from Micropterus dolomieu (smallmouth bass), 939 nucleotides. RefSeq lists it as uncharacterized. The transcript has 3 exons. The record is from RefSeq and is a predicted model, not a curated record. NCBI's taxonomy places the organism in Eukaryota, Metazoa, Chordata, Actinopteri, Centrarchiformes, Centrarchidae.
GAGGUUUCCUGGGAGACACAAGUAAACAUGAGGGCGCCGGGAGAUGGCUGUUAAAUAAGUUAAAACUGCUCAUCGAUGCAGACCAGAUGUGCUGUGUAAGGGAACUGGCUGAUCACAGAUAUCCUCUGUCACUGAGGUUGGCCUGGGACAGAUGAAUCCAUUCUUUGGCAUUCAUGCGAGUGGUUUACAGAGACUGCACCCUUAUUCACACUUCUAUGGCAAUGAUCACCAGGACAAGUUACUUCAUCAGCAGAGCAGGAGGAUGGCAGCAGUACCCAGGACAGUGGAGAACAGCUGCCAGACGAACAACAACAAAACACCACAUCAUCCACAGCGAGGCUGCCUGGAGAACCACAAAGUUACAGAGUAGACAGUGCUGUCACCUUUUCUUUCUUUACAGUACUGUUUGUCAUUUGCCAAAUAUCCAUACUCAUCUAUUGAGAGAACUGUUUGAAACAUCCCCAUCUCGAACACUUGGUUCAGUCUCUUCCCACCUGGCCACAACUGCUCCAUAGUGAUAGAGGUUUUCCACCAGACGAUUCAUCAAAACAUUUUUUGUAAAGCUCCUUAGCUUGGGAGGGUUUGCCUUUCUCUGAGGCCCCAUCCGCACUACUCCGUUUUAGUUUAUAAACGGAGAAUUAAAACGAAUACGAUCUCCGUCCACACCAGCGUUUUAGAGUUGAUCUCCGGUUCAUUAAAAUGACUGAUAAUGCACAUGUAGUGGCCGUUCAGGUACACUGGGCAAAUGCGUGCCGGUGUAAACACGAAGCAGAUGGUCUAUUCCAUAGUUACAGAAGAUUUGGAGAAAGAAUAAAGAAAUGUAGAUGAAGAAUCAGACCAAAUUUCUUCGCAUGGACCAAUAAUGAGCUGAAAACAGACUUGGAGUUGUUGCAAAGUAAACAGUGACAUGCUCAGUACAAGUGUUAUUUGCAUGGUAAA